RNAcentral lists this ribosomal RNA (256 nucleotides) under uncultured bacterium. Its description in RNAcentral is "partial 16S ribosomal RNA". It matches the Rfam family "Bacterial small subunit ribosomal RNA", at positions 524 to 776 of the family's 1533-position model. The record is from RNAcentral.
UACGUAGGUGGCAAGCGUUUGUCCGGAUUUACUGGGCGUAAAGAGCGCGCAGGCGGUCGUUCAAGUCGCGUGUGAAAGCCCCCCGGCUCAACUGGGGGAGGGUCACGCGAUACUGAUCGACUCGAAGGCAGGAGAGGGUAGUGGAAUUCCCGGUGUAGUGGUGAAAUGCGCAGAUAUCAGGAGGAACACCGGUGGCGAAGGCGGAUCUCUGGGCCUUACCUGACGCUGAGGCGCGAAAGCUAGGGGAGCAAACAGG